This 407-nucleotide ribosomal RNA is filed under the name uncultured bacterium. RNAcentral describes it as "partial 16S ribosomal RNA". It matches the Rfam family "Bacterial small subunit ribosomal RNA", at positions 28 to 526 of the family's 1533-position model. The record is from RNAcentral.
GAUGAACGCUAGCUACAGGCUUAACACAUGCAAGUCGCGGGACCGGCGCACGGGUGAGUAACGCGUAUCCAACCUGCCCUCCACCACGGGCUAACCCGGCGAAAGUCGGACUAAUACCCUAUGGCGAAGGAGGGGGAUGCGUUCGAUUAGCUUGAUGGAGGGGUAACGGCCCACCGUGGGUACGAGUGGUAGGGGUGCUGAGAGGGAGGUCCCCCACACUGGAACUGAGACACGGUCCAGACUCCUACGGGAGGCAGCAGUGAGGAAUAUUGGUCAGUGAGCGUAAGCCUGAACCAGCCAGGUAGCGUGCAGGACGACGGCCUGUGGGUUGUCAACUGCUUUUAUGCGGGGAUAGGUACCGAAUGAAUAAGGACCGGCUAAUUCCGUGCCAGCAGCCGCGGUAAUUC